RNAcentral lists this ribosomal RNA (1050 nucleotides) under Alphus tuberosus. RNAcentral's name for it is "partial large subunit ribosomal RNA". It matches the Rfam family "Eukaryotic large subunit ribosomal RNA", at positions 111 to 876 of the family's 3401-position model. Lineage: Eukaryota; Metazoa; Arthropoda; Insecta; Coleoptera; Cerambycidae. The record is from RNAcentral.
AGCACCGAAUCCCGCGGCCGAUACCGGACGCCGGGAAAUGUGGUGUUAGGGAGGAUCCGUUUAUCCCGAGGUCGCGCGGCGAGUCCAAGUCCUUCUUGAACGGGGCCACAGCCCAUAGAGGGUGCCAGGCCCGUAGCGACAGUCGCCGAUCGCGGGAGGAUCUCUCCUCAGAGUCGGGUUGCUUGAGAGUGCAGCCCUAAGCGGGUGGUAAACUCCAUCUAAGGCUAAAUACGACCACGAGACCGAUAGCGAACAAGUACCGUGAGGGAAAGUUGAAAAGCACUUUGAAGAGAGAGUUCAAGAGUACGUGAAACCGUUCAGGGGUAAACCUGAGAAACCCGAAAGGUCGAAAGGGGAAAUUCAUUCGCGUUUCGGCCGCCGGGGCGAGAUGGUCGCGCGACGGGAGGCGUACGCGUCUCUCGCGCCUUCCUUUUCGCCGAGACCGGCGUCGAACGCGUGCACUUUUCCCCUAGUAGGACGUCGCGAUCCGUUGGGUGUCGGUUUAAGGUGCUCGCGGUGGAGCCCGGACGCGCGUCUCACGACGUUCGCGUUCGGACCCGCGGUAUCCCGACCGGCUCGCCCGACGGUAUACAGAUGGCGCGGGGCCGCUACCAAUCAAAAAGUUAGCGUCCGGCCCGCGGCAAGCGCGUUCGGAGUCGACGGAGAUCGGACCUAGCGCCGAUACCGUCCCCGGACGACUGUUAGCCGCGGUGUUCUCGGACAGACCCCGUAUUCUAUGAAACGCCGAUCUGCGACGCUAUAGCUUUGGGUACUUUCAGGACCCGUCUUGAAACACGGACCAAGGAGUCUAGCAUGUGCGCGAGUCAUUGGGACAUAACUAAACCUAAAGGCGUAAUGAAAGUGAAGGUCCGCCUAGCGCGGACCUAGGGAAGAUGGGCGUUCCGUACUCCGUUGCGGUCGUCCCGCAUUCCCGGGGCGUCUCGUUCUCAUCGCGAGAAGAGGCGCACCAAGAGCGUACACGCUGGGACCCGAAAGAUGGUGAACUAUGCCUGGUCAGGACGAAGUCAGGGGAAACCCUGAUGGAGGUAC